GCGAAACGAGCGUAGCUUCCUUGUCGUGUGGCCUCAGUCCUUCGCCGUCCCUCGCCGUCCUUCGCCAUCGCACGCCACCGCACCCCAUCUCUCGAAAUCUGCAGACAUCUUGAUUUUUCCCACGCUGUCUGUCAGGUCUCCGCCGCCACUCGACGCCAGGGCGCCGGGCCUUGUGGGCUGUGCUGCACCUCGGACGGCUUCGCACCAGCCAGCGCCCUCUCUCUCCUGCAGCACUCUGAUCUGCACCCCCUGAGGGGCUUCCACUGUCCGCGGGGUGAGAAUGCCCCUGGGAGUGUCACAUGACUGCCGCCCCAUGUGUGUGAGAGGCGUCCUCUGGGAGAGCAUGGAUCCUGAGGUCCCAGGAUUGUCAGCUGACCUCUGUCCUGUGUGCCCAGUGGCCCCAGGUGACGUGUCUUCAAGAAGAGGCUGAGCUGCGGUGCUUGUAAGAGUCAUGUGCUGUUCCUGGGGCUUGGAUGAUGUAGGGGAAGCAAGGUGAAAGUGGUAUCCCGUGGUUCCACGUUCUGUCCUGCUGUGGGGCUGUCCCUCACAUGCUUUCAGUGGCUGUUGCAGAGGAAGAGCCUCCGGAAAUCUGCGUGGGUCUCAGCCUUAGAUCCAAGGACAGUCCAAGGAAGUCCUAAGACCAUGGAGUUGGUGAUCUGGGAUCUGGGUUUGCUGAUAUUUCUCACCGUGAAUCUCUUGGUGGUGUUUGUGGGCACGAGAGGGGCAGAGAAUGGAGAGUGAGGCUACCACAUGAAGCGUCACCAGAGCUGCUCCCUGCUGCCUGCUCAGAGCACCCCGGAUCCACUGUUCAAUCUGCACAAGAUUCGGGGUCCAGACAUGGGAGACUUCAGCUGCCUCAGAGGACCGUGGACAGGGAAGGCCAGCCUCGCAUCCCUCUGUCCAUGCCUGGAAUGACUUUAAUAACCAAGAGUUUUAUUUUUGAAUUUGUAGCUGUCGUUCACUUUUUACCCACCCAUUCAAUAAACCUUACAGAAUUGCUCCAUGUGCUUCUUAAAUCAGUGACAACCUGUGAGCCUGCCAGGCUGGCUUUGGAGAAGAGGGAGGAAUCUACACAUGUCCC
RNAcentral lists this long non-coding RNA (1081 nucleotides) under Homo sapiens (human). Its description in RNAcentral is "non-protein coding SNHG17:6". Lineage: Eukaryota; Metazoa; Chordata; Mammalia; Primates; Hominidae. The record is from RNAcentral.